RNAcentral lists this transfer RNA (65 nucleotides) under Dipodomys ordii (Ord's kangaroo rat). It matches the Rfam family "tRNA". From Rfam's summary of the family: Transfer RNA (tRNA) molecules are approximately 80 nucleotides in length. Their secondary structure includes four short double-helical elements and three loops (D, anti-codon, and T loops). Further hydrogen bonds mediate the characteristic L-shaped molecular structure. tRNAs have two regions of fundamental functional importance: the anti-codon, which is responsible for specific mRNA codon recognition, and the 3' end, to which the tRNAs corresponding amino acid is attached (by aminoacyl-tRNA synthetases). tRNAs cope with the degeneracy of the genetic code in two manners: having more than one tRNA (with a specific anti-codon) for a particular amino acid; and 'wobble' base-pairing, i.e. permitting non-standard base-pairing at the 3rd anti-codon position. Lineage: Eukaryota; Metazoa; Chordata; Mammalia; Rodentia; Heteromyidae. The record is from Rfam by way of RNAcentral.
GGUGGUUCAGUGGUAGAGUGCUUGUCUUGCAUGCAUGAGGCCCUGGGUUCAAUUCCUCAGCACCA